This 459-nucleotide ribosomal RNA is filed under the name uncultured bacterium. RNAcentral describes it as "partial 16S ribosomal RNA". It matches the Rfam family "Bacterial small subunit ribosomal RNA", at positions 338 to 795 of the family's 1533-position model. The record is from RNAcentral.
CCUACGGGGGGCAGCAGUGAGGAAUAUUGGUCAAUGGCCGAGAGGCUGAACCAGCCAAGUCGCGUGAGGGAAGACGGCCCUACGGGUUGUAAACCUCUUUUGUCGGGGAGCAAAGCGAGUCACGUGUGACUCAUUGAGAGUACCCGAAGAAAAAGCAUCGGCUAACUCCGUGCCAGCAGCCGCGGUAAUACGGAGGAUGCGAGCGUUAUCCGGAUUUAUUGGGUUUAAAGGGUGCGUAGGCGGGCUGUUAAGUCAGCGGUAAAAUGUCGGGGCUCAACCCCGGCCUGCCGUUGAAACUGGCGGCCUCGAGUGGGCGAGAAGUAUGCGGAAUGCGUGGUGUAGCGGUGAAAUGCAUAGAUAUCACGCAGAACUCCGAUUGCGAAGGCAGCAUACCGGCGCCCUACUGACGCUGAGGCACGAAAGCGUGGGUAUCGAACAGGAUUAGAUACCCUUGUAGUC